This 253-nucleotide ribosomal RNA is filed under the name uncultured bacterium. Its description in RNAcentral is "partial 16S ribosomal RNA". The record is from RNAcentral.
CUGCUGCCUCCCGUAGGAGUUUGGCCGUGUCUCAGUCCAAUGUGGGGGGUUAACCUCUCAGUCCCCCUAUGUAUCGUCGCCUUGGUGAGCCGUUACCUCACCAACCAGCUAAUACAACGCAUGCCCAUCAUCAACCACCGGAGUUUUCAACCCCAUGCGAUGCCGCAUGAGAUAUUAUGGGGUAUUAGUACCAAUUUCUCAGUGUUAUCCCCCUGUUGAUGGUAGGUUGCAUACGCGUUACGCACCCGUGCCG